This 779-nucleotide ribosomal RNA is filed under the name uncultured Neocallimastigales. RNAcentral's name for it is "partial large subunit ribosomal RNA". It matches the Rfam family "Eukaryotic large subunit ribosomal RNA", at positions 24 to 641 of the family's 3401-position model. Lineage: Eukaryota; Fungi; Neocallimastigomycota; Neocallimastigomycetes; Neocallimastigales. The record is from RNAcentral.
UACGACUACAUAUCAGGCAUAUCAAUAAGCGGAGGAAAAGAAACUAACAAGGAUUCCCUUAGUAACGGCGAGUGAAGCGGGAAGAGCUCAAAUUUGAAAUCUUCAAGGUUUUACCUUGACGAAUUGUAGUUUAUAGAAGUGUUUUCUGUUAGUGGUUUGGUAAAAGUUCUUUGGAAUAGGACAUCAUAGAGGGUGAGAAUCCCGUAUUUGGAUCCAUUACUUCCUAGCGUUGUGAUACACUUUCAAAGAGUCGGAUUGUUUGGGAAUGCAGUCCAAAAUGGGUGGUAAAUUUCAUCUAAAGCUAAAUAUUGGCGAGAGACCGAUAGCGAACAAGUACCGUGAGGGAAAGAUGAAAAGAACUUUGAAAAGAGAGUUAAACAGUACGUGAAAUUGUCAAAAGGGAAGCGUUUGACACCAGUGUUGUUUUUCCGAAAAUCAAUUAAACUGAUGGAUUUUGUGUUUGAGUUAUGACUUCAUCAGCUUUCUGCACUUUCUUUACUAACUUUCUUAAUGCACUUUUCGUUAACAAGUCAACAUCAAUUCCUUUUGUUGUAAAAGGGUAUGAGGAAGGUGGCUUUCUUUUCGGAGAAAGUGUUUAUAGCCUUGUACCUCUGCAAUCGGAGAGAUUGAGGUCUGCAGCGUAGAUCCUUCGGGGUUAGAUACGAUUUGUGCUAAGUUAUAGCUUGUCAUAGACAACUUGUUGACUAUGUUUAGUCUUGUAGCUUACUCGCUUAUGCUAUUUUACCUACGCUUAGGAUGUUGAACGCGCACAGAGUCUC